CUUGUGGUCGGUAUACAGGUGGUGCAUGGCUGUCGUCAGCUCGUGUCGUGAGAUGUUGGGUUAAGUCCCGCAACGAGCGCAACCCUUGUUCUGUGUUGCCAGCAUGCCCUUCGGGGUGAUGGGGACUCACAGGAGACUGCCGGGGUCAACUCGGAGGAAGGUGGGGACGACGUCAAGUCAUCAUGCCCCUUAUGUCUUGGGCUGCACACGUGCUACAAUGGCCGGUACAAUGAGCUGCGAUGCCGCGAGGCGGAGCGAAUCUCAAAAAGCCGGUCUCAGUUCGGAUUGGGGUCUGCAACUCGACCCCAUGAAGUCGGAGUGCUAGUAAUCGCAGAUCAGCAUUGCUGCGGUGAAUACGUUCCCGGG
Molecule: ribosomal RNA, 366 nt
Filed under: Streptomyces microflavus
Lineage: Bacteria; Bacillati; Actinomycetota; Actinomycetes; Kitasatosporales; Streptomycetaceae
Description: bacterial SSU rRNA
Rfam family: Bacterial small subunit ribosomal RNA
Source: RNAcentral